GCGGGACACGUGGUAUCCUGUCUGAAUAUGGGGGGACCAUCCUCCAAGGCUAAAUACUCCUGACUGACCGAUAGUGAACCAGUACCGUGAGGGAAAGGCGAAAAGAACCCCGGCGAGGGGAGUGAAAAAGAACCUGAAACCGUGUACGUACAAGCAGUGGGAGCCUCUUAAUGGGGUGACUGCGUACCUUUUGUAUAAUGGGUCAGCGACUUAUAUUCUGUAGCAAGGUUAACCGAAUAGGGGAGCCGAAGGGAAACCGAGUCUUAACUGGGCGUUAAGUUGCAGGGUAUAGACCCGAAACCCGGUGAUCUAGCCAUGGGCAGGUUGAAGGUUGGGUAACACUAACUGGAGGACCGAACCGACUAAUGUUGAAAAAUUAGCGGAUGACUUGUGGCUGGGGGUGAAAGGCCAAUCAAACCGGGAGAUAGCUGGUUCUCCCCGAAAGCUAUUUAGGUAGCGCCUCGUGAAUUCAUCUCCGGGGGUAGAGCACUGUUUCGGCAAGGGGGUCAUCCCGACUUACCAACCCGAUGCAAACUGCGAAUACCGGAGAAUGUUAUCACGGGAGACACACGGCGGGUGCUAACGUCCGUCGUGAAGAGGGAAACAACCCAGACCGCCAGCUAAGGUCCCAAAGUCAUGGUUAAGUGGGAAACGAUGUGGGAAGGCCCAGACAGCCAGGAUGUUGGCUUAGAAGCAGCCAUCAUUUAAAGAAAGCGUAAUAGCUCACUGGUCGAGUCGGCCUGCGCGGAAGAUGUAACGGGGCUAAACCAUGCACCGAAGCUGCGGCAGCGACACUAUGUGUUGUUGGGUAGGGGAGCGUUCUGUAAGCCUGUGAAGGUGGCCUGUGAGGGGUGCUGGAGGUAUCAGAAGUGCGAAUGCUGACAUAAGUAACGAUAAAGCGGGUGAAAAGCCCGCUCGCCGGAAGACCAAGGGUUCCUGUCCAACGUUAAUCGGGGCAGGGUGAGUCGACUCCUAAGGCGAGGCCGAAAGGCGUAGUCGAUGGGAAACAGGUUAAUAUUCCUGUACUUGGUGUUACUGCGAAGGGGGGACGGAGAAGGCUAUGUUGGCCGGGCGACGGUUGUCCCGGUUUAAGCGUGUAGGCUGGUUUUCCAGGCAAAUCCGGAAAACCAAGGCUGAGGCGUGAUGACGAGGCACUACGGUGCUGAAGUGACAAAUGCCCUGCUUCCAGGAAAAGCCUCUAAGCAUCAGGUAACAUCAAAUCGUACCCCAAACCGACACAGGUGGUCAGGUAGAGAAUACCAAGGCGCUUGAGAGAACUCGGGUGAAGGAACUAGGCAAAAUGGUGCCGUAACUUCGGGAGAAGGCACGCUGAUAUGUAGGUGAAGCGACUUGCUCGUGGAGCUGAAAUCAGUCGAAGAUACCAGCUGGCUGCAACUGUUUAUUAAAAACACAGCACUGUGCAAACACGAAAGUGGACGUAUACGGUGUGACGCCUGCCCGGUGCCGGAAGGUUAAUUGAUGGGGUUAGCGGUAACGCGAAGCUCUUGAUCGAAGCCCCGGUAAACGGCGGCCGUAACUAUAACGGUCCUAAGGUAGCGAAAUUCCUUGUCGGGUAAGUUCCGACCUGCACGAAUGGCGUAAUGAUGGCCAGGCUGUCUCCACCCGAGACUCAGUGAAAUUGAACUCGCUGUGAAGAUGCAGUGUACCCGCGGCAAGACGGAAAGACCCCGUGAACCUUUACUAUAGCUUGACACUGAACAUUGAGCCUUGAUGUGUAGGAUAGGUGGGAGGCUUUGAAGUGUGGACGCCAGUCUGCAUGGAGCCGACCUUGAAAUACCACCCUUUAAUGUUUGAUGUUCUAACGUUGGCCCGUAAUCCGGGUUGCGGACAGUGUCUGGUGGGUAGUUUGACUGGGGCGGUCUCCUCCUAAAGAGUAACGGAGGAGCACGAAGGUUGGCUAAUCCUGGUCGGACAUCAGGAGGUUAGUGCAAUGGCAUAAGCCAGCUUGACUGCGAGCGUGACGGCGCGAGCAGGUGCGAAAGCAGGUCAUAGUGAUCCGGUGGUUCUGAAUGGAAGGGCCAUCGCUCAACGGAUAAAAGGUACUCCGGGGAUAACAGGCUGAUACCGCCCAAGAGUUCAUAUCGACGGCGGUGUUUGGCACCUCGAUGUCGGCUCAUCACAUCCUGGGGCUGAAGUAGGUCCCAAGGGUAUGGCUGUUCGCCAUUUAAAGUGGUACGCGAGCUGGGUUUAGAACGUCGUGAGACAGUUCGGUCCCUAUCUGCCGUGGGCGCUGGAGAACUGAGGGGGGCUGCUCCUAGUACGAGAGGACCGGAGUGGACGCAUCACUGGUGUUCGGGUUGUCAUGCCAAUGGCACUGCCCGGUAGCUAAAUGCGGAAGAGAUAAGUGCUGAAAGCAUCUAAGCACGAAACUUGCCCCGAGAUGAGUUCUCCCUGAGACUUAGAGUCUCCUGAAGGAACGUUGAAGACGACGACGUUGAUAGGCCGGGUGUGUAAGCGCAGCGAUGCGUUGAGCUAACCGGUACUAAUGAACCGUGAGGCUUAACCUUACAACGCCGAAG
This 2540-nucleotide ribosomal RNA is filed under the name Escherichia coli. RNAcentral describes it as "partial 23S ribosomal RNA". It matches the Rfam family "Bacterial large subunit ribosomal RNA", at positions 417 to 2925 of the family's 2925-position model. The record is from RNAcentral. Lineage: Bacteria; Pseudomonadati; Pseudomonadota; Gammaproteobacteria; Enterobacterales; Enterobacteriaceae.